This is a long non-coding RNA of Panonychus citri (citrus red mite), 2625 nucleotides long. RefSeq lists it as uncharacterized. The transcript has 6 exons. The record is from RefSeq and is a predicted model, not a curated record. Lineage: Eukaryota; Metazoa; Arthropoda; Arachnida; Trombidiformes; Tetranychidae.
UCUUGUCUAAUUUGAAUUAAUCUUCACAAAUCUACUCAAAUUGUAACGUUUUAAAUCAACAUUGACAAACAACUUGAUCAGGUUAACUUUCAAAUUUAAAAGCUAACUUAUGAUUAUAUUAAUCCAAAUGAACUUAAUUAUAUUGAUCGAUAGUAAUCAAUGUAAAGAUUGACGAUUAGUGAUCAUGUUGAUCUUAAGCUUCUUUUUAAUUGAUUAUUUUCAAUCUCCUUUUCAACAACUAAGAUCAUUAAGACCACUGAAUAAUUAUCUCAACAAUUUAAACCCUUCUUUUUAUAACUCAUGGAAAUUGAAUUGUAAUUGAUUAUCUUGGUGAACUUUUUUUUCUCUCCAUCUUUCCAUUACCAAUACGAAGGCAAAGAGAAGAGGAAAAAUAAUGGUUAUUAUGUGUUUGCCCUUCUCUUGGGACAAGACCAAUAAUAAUAAAUGGAGUUACCUUUAGAUUUGCUUGUUACCUUUAUGUGAAUCGAGGUGAUAAUUUGAGGAGGAAACCAUUGAUUUAAUUAGAUGUGUUGUCAAGUUAAUUUACUUACAAUCCUUUACAUGAUGAUGAUGCUGAUCGUCUUUGAAUGUGUCCUGAAUUUUUAAAAAGCUUCAUAACCCUAAACCCUUUUGUUAUUGUCCCAUUGUUAUGGUUUAACUUUCUACUUAUCUUUUUUCAUGGUAAAUCUAAAUUUUAUUAACUACAAUGGACACACACACAUACACAUCACAAACGGACAAAAAGGAUGAGGAUGAAAUAAAAUUGGACAAUAAACAAAUUCACCUCCUCCUACUGCUGAUACACUCUCAUCAUCAUCAUCAUUGACAAUUCACCAGUGACAGUUACAAUAAUUACCAUCGGAUUAAAGAGGAGAGAGAGAGAGAGAGAGGAUGAAGAUGGUGAUAAGCUAAAUAAUUUGUGUCCAUAAUAUUUUAUUGUUAUGAUAUCAUUAAUAUAGUUGACUGAAUAAAUAUAUUCUAUGAAAUUUUAUUGGUAAUCAUUAUCAUCAUCAUGAUGAGAUAAUCAAAUGGACACACGGCGGUGGAAUCUAUGGUGAUUUAAGUUUUCCUCAUCUUGGUCAUCAUCGAUUUAAUAUCAUUAACUUGUAAUCAAAUCAAUUUCGAUCAAAUCUGAUUUAAGCUUAUGCUGAGAAUUCUUCGUGUAUAAUCAUUCGCUAAUCAUGAUCAUCAUUGAUUUCGAAUAAUAUUCUAUUUGGUCUACCAAUAUAAUGAUGGAUGAUUCCAAAUAAUAACAUUCUAAAUACUAUUCUGAAUAUUGUUGAUCUCUAUUUGCCCAUAAAAGAUGAGGAUUCUCACCCACUUAUCAUAAUCAUCAUCAUAUCUACUCCUCUUAUGGUCAUAAACCUUUAUUUUUUUAGUACUAUGAUGACCUCGUCAAAUCAACAUUAAACAAUAAUGUUAUCUUCACAUGAAACGAUAAUCCCUUUAUGUGAAACUGGAAUCAGAAUCCAUUGAAAGGAGACACAAACAACAAUCUAAUUCCGAGAAAUUUUCAUUAAAUUGCCUCAAUGUUCCAAUUAUUUAAUAGCUUUCAAUAUUUACUCUUGACUUUUUCCCCUCUCGAACUGAGUAUUCAUGGUAAUCUAAUUAAUGAGUGAAUUUAAUUAACGAGGCAAGAGAAGCAAAAAAAAACAACAGCAAUCAAGGAUUAAACAAACAGUUAACUGCCUUUAUCAAUCUACAAAUUAUGUGUCGCUUCAUUAACUGUACACUUAAACUCAUUCAAUUAGUAAAUCAACUCAUAUCUUGAUAGAUUAAUCAUCUUGUUUAUCUCUCUAUCGGACUUAUUACUCUCCAUAUUCAUUGAUGGAUCAUUUUUCACUGUAACUCCAUCUUCAUUAACUUGCAUCAUUUCCGUUUCCUUUUGAUUUUAAUGGUUGUAAAAAGAGAACGAUAUUCUUAUGGAGUCUAAUUAAGUCAAUUAGUUCCCUGGAACCUGUUGGAUGGUUCAUUGAAAUAGUUACAUUGAUCCAAUUUAACUUAUCAUCAUCAUCAUGGGUAAUCAACUGUAAUCGAGAAAAAAAAACCUUUUUGUUUGAUUAACUAUCGGAAUUGUGAAAGCAUCAUCAUGAUAACAUGGUGACACACCCUGAACUCAAUCACCGAGAUCACUUGGAAAAUAUUACAAGAAUUCAUUUUGAUGUAACAAUAACAAGUUGAAGAAAAAAUGAAGCGAAAAUUUCAGGGUCAUAGUAAUGAGAUUAGUGAUAAAUGUACGAAAUGAACAAUAAAAAACACUUCGAAAUUGUUACCGUUGAAACCACCAAGGGAUUUCAAUGUUUCUUUUUUCCAGUUAAACUGAAAAUAAUUUCACUUUUUUGUUCACUUUUAACCAAAACCUUUUCAUCAUUUCCUUUUCCUCUUAAUCAUUUUUCCCUUCCCAUUUUUCACUAAAUCAUCCCUCCCAUUUCAUGUCCUCUCAUCAAAUGUAUCUUUUAAAUUGACCAACAGUUGAAAUUGUUACAAUUGACAAAAGUGCAUUAAAAACAUUUGACAUUUAUUUGAUUCCAUGAAAAUCAAGGCGAUCACUUUUAAACUCAAUCAACUGAUCAAAGUCAAUCAUCAGCUUGAUACACUCGCAAAGAUUGUCACGAUUAAUCAAUU